This 36-nucleotide ribosomal RNA is filed under the name Anopheles culicifacies. RNAcentral's name for it is "partial 28S ribosomal RNA". The record is from RNAcentral. Lineage: Eukaryota; Metazoa; Arthropoda; Insecta; Diptera; Culicidae.
UUUAUCAGUAGGCCUCAAAUAAUGUGUGACUACCCC